Molecule: ribosomal RNA, 492 nt
Filed under: uncultured bacterium
Lineage: Bacteria
Description: partial 16S ribosomal RNA
Rfam family: Bacterial small subunit ribosomal RNA
Source: RNAcentral
AGUGAACGCUGGCGGUAGGCCUAACACAUGCAAGUCGAACGGCAGCACAGUAAGAGCUUGCUCUUACGGGUGGCGAGUGGCGGACGGGUGAGGAAUACAUCGGAAUCUACUUUUUCGUGGGGGAUAACGUAGGGAAACUUACGCUAAUACCGCAUACGACCUACGGGAGAAAGCAGUGGAUCUUCGGACCUUGCGCGAUUGAAUGAGCCGAUGUCGGAUUAGCUAGUUGGCGGGGUAAAGGCCCACCAAGGCGACGAUCCGUAGCUGGUCUAAGAGGAUGAUCAGCCACACUGGAACUGAGACACGGUCCAGACUCCUACGGGAGGCAGCAGUGGGGAAUAUUGGACAAUGGGCGCAAGCCUGAUGCAGCCAUACCGCGUGGGUGAAGAAGGCCUUCGGGUUGUAAAGCCCUUUUGUUGGGAAAGAAAAGCAGCAGGUUAAUACCCCGCUGUUCUGACGGUACCCAAAGAAUAAGCACCGGCUAACUUCGUG